UGCCAUCUACCCCGAAAAUAACUGGUAA
RNAcentral lists this non-coding RNA (28 nucleotides) under Mus musculus (house mouse). The record is from RNAcentral. Lineage: Eukaryota; Metazoa; Chordata; Mammalia; Rodentia; Muridae.